Molecule: RNA transcript, 2596 nt
Organism: Rhea pennata
Lineage: Eukaryota; Metazoa; Chordata; Aves; Rheiformes; Rheidae
Gene: LYRM2
Gene name: LYR motif containing 2
Exons: 6
Source: RefSeq, a predicted model, not a curated record
AACGCUUAACGCCUCGCGGAAACCUGCGCGUGGGGCGGGCGGCAAAUGGCUGCCGGGGCCGCCCCCCGCCCCGCCCCGCGAGCUGCGUCAUGGCCGCCGCCGCCCGCGUCAUGGCCGCCAGCCGCCUGCCGCCCGGCGCGCUCACGCUCAAGCAGUUCCUGAGAAGGCAGCAGGUGCUUCAGUUAUACAGAAACAUGCUGCGGGCGGUCCGCGAGGUCCCGGCUGAAGCAGACCGCCGCUACUUGAGAGAGUGGGUGAGGGAGGAAUUCAGAAGAAACAAAGGUGCCGCAGAAGAGGAUGCAAUUAGGAUGAUGAUUGCUCAAGGCAACAGGCAACUCCAGGAACUUCAGAGAGCACUUAAGCUGGCAAAAUCAUGACCUUAAUUUUGUUGACAGCUGGACUUUCAUCCGCUGUGAGGAAGCACAGCACUUUUUCCCAAACAGCAGAGCCCUGGCACUUCAAUGCUGCAAGACAGUGAAUUCAAAAAGUGAUGGAAAUAAUAAGAUACAAGGGAAGAAACAGAGAGGAAUUGUUCAGAAGAGCUAAGGAAGAUAGUCUGGACAGGAUGUCUGGGGGAGAACUCCGACCCUAGAGAAAAACAAACCUCAGUGUGCUGCUGAAGGCGAUGAAGGCACUCUGUUCUCUCUGCAGACAGCCGCUCAGCCAUAAGCUUAUCUAAAACACGGAGCUGUGGGAAAAACAAAAUGGAGCUGAAAUGAUCAUUACAACGAAAAAAACAAAUUUUUGAACCUUUUAAGUCCAAGUAUAUUCUCUCCUGCAAUCUUCAUUUCUAGGCAUGCUGCCAACUACAAUUAGAUAUAGCUUGCAAAAAGCUGCCAUCACAGAAUUAUCUGAUGAAUAAAAAUAGCACUAAAAAUAAUUUAAAGGAUUUUGAUUAUCAGUGCAAACAGUUCAACAAAAGGGAUUUUACAAUUAUAAAACUAUCAGCUGCAGGAUUGCGUUCUGCCUUUAGUUUCCCUCUUAGGGCCUCAAGCAGUUAGAUUUAUCAUCUAAACAAGUGUCUGAAGCCACUUACACAUUAAAUGUGUUUUUCUUCCUCAAGACCCUACUUUGCAACAUUAGAUCCCUGUAGAAUGUCACAGUUCCUUGGUCUUGAAUAUUAGAUUUCAUUUUUUUUUUUUAAUAAUGCAAGAAGCAAUAAACAGUGACAAAAUAUUCCUUAAGCUUAGGAGGUGCUUCUAACAAUCAUGUGGACAAGUAAACCUCUGAGUCAUUGUCUUACUUGAUGUUGAGUCUUGCUUUCCAUUUGGCCCAGCUUAACAUUCAUCUUAUCUUGUACUGUCCCAAACUCAGCUUUUAUCUCUUCCACAGUUGCCUCCAGCUGAUUCUCCAGUUUAUUUAUCAGAGGCUCACAGCGACAUCCAUUUAUUGGUGCCUGAAACGAGUAAUACAUUCGCUUGCUGUAUCCCUCUGUCCUCUUUGUGCACUUGGAACAUUAUCACAGCUCUUUGGGGUCAGUGUUGUGCUCUUCUGUACCACACACUGUAUCUCACCCUCCUGAGAACAUCUCACAGCUCAGCAGAGGACAGAAGGAUGCCCCAACAGUGUACUGUUCGGAGACGCACAGCCUGGGAAAGGCUCUAUAUGUGGACAAAUCCUAACACACAGCACUGCUUUCACUGGGGCCACAAGUACAAACGAGGUCGGACUGCGUAUGUUGCGGCACCACGUGCCGUGCGAGGGGGCACUACAUGUAACAGGGCUGCACUUUGUGUGUCUUGAUGCCGACGUUCUGAAUCAGCCUGCCUUUGCCUUGCAUGACCGACUCCUGAAGCUCCCCUCUGAGGGGAUCUGUGCUGACCCCAUUUAAACCUCUCAGGGAGAUGGUCACAAAAGCUUCCUUCAGGUGAAGGCAGCUCAUCCCCAUAGGUUUCCUCUGUAGUCUGCAGACAAACUGGCUCCUUCAGGGGAUGAGUUAGGAGCCUAACAAGGCUGCUCUGAGUCUGUUCCUGAAGGAGCCUCCCUCUCUCCUUUGGCCAUGCAGUACUGUUUCACAGAUUAGGACUUACUCCCACGGCAGGGGAAGGUGGGUGGUUUGCACAACGCUAGAGAAAGCAUCAUAAAUAAAUGUAUUUAAGAAAUUGUUUGCUGUUCAGGGCCUGAGGGCAUCAGAGAAGACAGAUGAGCCAAAAAAAGGGAGAGGAAAGCAUCAUGUAUUUCAGGAAUUGCUAAAAAAAUAAAAAAUAUAAAUAAAAAAGGAGUCUGGCCACAUCAUUAAGCUGAUCUUUUAUGAAUAGAUAGGAUUUCUGUACAAAUCCUACCUGCUCUCUAAACCUUUCUUCCUGCUCCCUGAAUCUUUCCUACUUGGCAUUCUCCUACUGUCAGAUUCUAGGGACAGGGAUGUACUUGUUUUAGUAUCUGAAAGGUCCUCCUUCCCAAGUAUGACCACAAAACGACUGAUGAUAAUUACAGCCUUGGUUCAUCUGUGAGCUAUUCAGCUCAUUUGCCCUCUAUCAAGAAAAUCCCAUAAUGCCUGUGGCUGGAAAUUUCCCACUAUUUAUACAGUAAGAUCUUGGAAAGCAUGGCCAGUGAAGCCUUUGAGGUCUGACUUUAGUGAUCUUUAUAAUCUUUUGAA